GAUGAAGAACGCAGCGAAAUGCGAUAAGUAAUGUGAAUUGCAGAAUUCAGUGAAUCAUCGAAUCUUUGAACGCACAUUGCGCCCGCCAGCAUUCUGGCGGGCAUGCCUGUUCGAGCGUCAUUUCAACCCUCGAACCCCCCCGGGGGCCUCGGUGUUGGGGGACGGCACACCAGCCGCCCCCGAAAUGCAGUGGCGACCCCGCCGCAGCCUCCCCUGCGUAGUAGCACACACCUCGCACCGGAGCGCGGAGGCGGUCACGCCGUAAAACGCCCAACUUUCUUAGAGUUGACCUCGGAUCAGGUAGGAAUACCCGCUGAACUUAAGCAUAUCAAUAAGCGGAGGA
RNAcentral lists this unclassified non-coding RNA (343 nucleotides) under soil metagenome. RNAcentral's name for it is "partial contains 5.8S ribosomal RNA, internal transcribed spacer 2, and large subunit ribosomal RNA". The stretch from base 1 to 120 matches the Rfam family "5.8S ribosomal RNA", at positions 35 to 154 of the family's 154-position model. The record is from RNAcentral.